Molecule: small nucleolar RNA, 98 nt
Organism: Malania oleifera
Lineage: Eukaryota; Viridiplantae; Streptophyta; Magnoliopsida; Santalales; Ximeniaceae
Product: small nucleolar RNA snoR109
Exons: 1
Source: RefSeq, a predicted model, not a curated record
CGGUUGUAGCUAAAUAAAUAUAGAGAAGUUGAUUAGCCAAUUGUCGCGAGAUUUUGUGAUAUUCGUCGACGAAUCCGCCUCCCGAGCUUCUUACAUUU